AAGUCGUAACAAGGUUUCCGUAGGUGAACCUGCGGAAGGAUCAUUACCGAUUUUAUCAAAAUCUAAAAAAAAUGCUCAUGCAUGUAUUUGCAUGUUGCAACCAAUUCUAUAGAAACUUUAAAUGUAAUGAAAGAUUCUAUAGCGUGUAUUUGCCAUUGUUGUGAUGCACGUUAAAUCGUUAUGGUAUAACCUGUGAUUUUAAUGUUUAAAUGAAAUCCUAAAUUUACCAUGCUCAUCCAUAUCAUCUCGAGAUAUGGUGAGCAAUGCAUUAUAUUCAAACUUUGAAUAUAAAAAUACAAAAUAUAAAAAAAAUAAAUUAAAAGACAACCUCGAGUGGUGGAUCACUCGGCUCGUGG
RNAcentral lists this unclassified non-coding RNA (356 nucleotides) under fungal sp. RNAcentral's name for it is "partial internal transcribed spacer region". The stretch from base 1 to 46 matches the Rfam family "Eukaryotic small subunit ribosomal RNA", at positions 1786 to 1831 of the family's 1831-position model. Lineage: Eukaryota; Fungi. The record is from RNAcentral.